Syngnathus acus (greater pipefish) is the source of this 663-nucleotide long non-coding RNA. RefSeq lists it as uncharacterized. Lineage: Eukaryota; Metazoa; Chordata; Actinopteri; Syngnathiformes; Syngnathidae. The record is from RefSeq and is a predicted model, not a curated record. The transcript is spliced from 3 exons.
AAGAAAUAUGAUCUUGCAAGAGGCCUAAGUCAGACUACUUUUCGAUCACCUCUGUAUGCUACAAGGUGACGAAGGUUUUCUCCACUUGCAAGUGCUAAAAGGCAAACUGUCUCCAGUGUGGUUCUUGCAAAGAAGUUAGCGUGAACACCACUCUAACACCAGGUGACUUUUUUUCCCACCUGUGAGGAGCUUAUCUGCGUGCUGAUAUGAGCUUGGAGUUUGGAAGCGACAAUCACAAACAACAACCAUUGUAAUGGCAACCCUUUUCUCCAUGACCCUUCUAAGACCGACCUGUGGCGGGAAUAUUCUCUGAGCUACCUCUUGAACACCUUUGGGACUGUUCCAAAAAUACUACACACACUCAUGGCUCUCUCUCUCCAUCUAUGAGCUGCAAGCUGUUCCUGGUGCUGAAAUACCUCGAUGAUGAUGCUCUGUUCUCAUCUGUGUCAUGUCUUUCAUCAUCUUUUUAGAAUUUAAGUGCUUUAACACAAGAAGUGGAGUGUGGAUAGUGCCCAGGAAAAAGAGGGUCACAGACGGCAGUCUGAUGGGUGGGAUUUAUUGUGUUUUAAUUCCUGCUCGUGAAGCACAUUGUGUUGCAUUGUGUUGCAUUUCACAUUUAGUAUGAAAUGUACCAUAUCAAUAAAGUAUUGAUUAAUUGUCUCA